Molecule: long non-coding RNA, 762 nt
Filed under: Solanum tuberosum (potato)
Lineage: Eukaryota; Viridiplantae; Streptophyta; Magnoliopsida; Solanales; Solanaceae
Description: long non-coding RNA (STUB_LNC010857)
Source: RNAcentral
UCUUCUUCAACUUCUUUUAAAAUUUUCAUUUAAAUAAUUAUUCUCAACUCAGUUUUUACCCAGAUUUCACUAUUUUUACCCAAAAACACAACGAAGAGGAAUAGAAAAAAUAAAAUUUUGUACAAUAUCAUGUUCUCAAACAGAAAUUUCAAAUCUCUAAAAUUAUAGCUGCAAGAAUUCACCAUUGAUGGUCAUUAUAAAGCUUCAAAUUUUGAAUUCAUUAUAUGAAUUUUACGAAUUUGUGAUUAGUUUGGAUGUGUUAAUUGAUCCUACAAAUAAUUGAAAAUGCCGUAUAUCUCUAUUUUAAGAGAAUUUGGUUAAGUUUAUAAUUGAUUUUAGGAGAAAUAUAAGAUUGAAACUCGAAAUAGGUGAAGUUUAUGGAACUGUAUCACAAUUGUAUUAAAGUUGUAUUAAACAUGUUUUAUAAUUGUAUUAAAAUCAUGAACAAUACAUUUAUAAUACAUAUUGCAAACUUUACUCUCUUCUUAGUGAUACCAACACAAUGAUUUAGGUAACACACUUAUAAUACAUUUAUAAUACAUGCACACUACAUUUUAAUACAUAUUGCAAACAUCACUCAUGUUCCUAAUGAUACAAACCAAAAUAAUUUAUGAGACACAUAUAAUACAUGUUUUAUUCAUGAAUAAUACAAGUUUAAUUCAAUUUAUAAAUUAUUGUCUUGUCUUUCGUUAGUUACGUUUUUCAUUUAUUCAUAAUUUUCUCUUCUAAUUCAAUUUUCAUAUUGUGUAAUACACUUUUAAU